CAGAUUGUAGCUUAUAUUUAAAGCCUUUUAGUUACAUUAAAAUUAAAAUUUAAAUUCUUUCUGA
This 64-nucleotide transfer RNA is filed under the name Phlogotettix monozoneus. RNAcentral describes it as "tRNA-Val". The record is from RNAcentral. Lineage: Eukaryota; Metazoa; Arthropoda; Insecta; Hemiptera; Cicadellidae.